Molecule: long non-coding RNA, 299 nt
Filed under: Brachypodium distachyon (stiff brome)
Lineage: Eukaryota; Viridiplantae; Streptophyta; Magnoliopsida; Poales; Poaceae
Description: long non-coding RNA (BDIS_LNC005482)
Source: RNAcentral
GUUCGAGGAUCCUUGUGUUCCUUUUUAUUAUCCACGAUUUAUUCAUUUUUUUGUUGUGCUUGUGCAUCUAUAGCUAUGUAGUUAAUGUCGAGAUUUAGUUUGGCUUAUGUUUUUGUGUGCAUAAUGUGUGCCGUUAGACCGACCGACGGUUGUUUUAGUAGGUUGUUUCUGUAAGGGUAUGUACGAUGGGUGUAUGCAAGAGUUGGUUUUAUGUAGUUUGGUGAUACGGAGGAAAAAGAAUGAGGAGAGAGUGAUGAUGUCGUUAGAAUUAUAGAUAAGUCUAUAACAUGUUUACAGAU